GGCCAGUGAGUGGGGUGGAGCGCGGCCGGCGGCCGCCCCCGGCCGGUCUCGGGCCCGCAGCCCGCCCGCCUGAGCCUCGGCCGGCCCGGCCCGGGGCGGCGGCCGGAGCCCGGAGUGCGCGCCCGGCUCCCCUCCCCCCGCGGGUAAGUGGAAGUCAGGAGGGACCCAGGAGGGAGGCCGGGAGCGAUCGGCGCCUCGGCGGCAGCGGCGCCGGCAACUUUUCCGCGCCUGGCUCGUGGGCGGAGUGGGGCUGCGCCCGGCGGGUCCCCAAGAGCGUUGCGAGAAGGCGAGGGCGCCGCCCCGCGCGCCUUGAGCGCCCCGCCGCCCGGGGUGGGUCGGGGAUCGGGGACAGUGCGUCUGACGGUGGCGACGGCGGCCGCGGAGUCCCGGGGCGCCCCCUACGGAGCGGGGGAAGGGCGGCCCGGCCUCUGUUCCCUUCCCAGUGGCCCCUCCACCCCGACCCCCCAGGGGACGCAUGGGAAUGCGGUGGGGAGGGCGGGUCCCCGCGCGACUUGGGCAGGUCAAGGUGGGCAGAGAGUUGUCAGGGUGGGAGGGCUUGUGUCCGGCUCGGACAUGGGGCUUGGGUUGAGGGGCUUGGAUAUGCAUAUGCCUACCCCACUCCUAGCCCCCCGACCUGGCCUUUGGACGGGAGGAAUGGGUUGGGGGGGUCUCUCAGAGUUCUUUGGGUGGGGGCGGGGGUGGAUACCGGUCCAAGUUCUUGACGUGUCGCCCGCUGGGUAGGGGGAAGGUCUCUUGUUGGGCAGGGGCUGGUGGGAGCUGGGGGGAUGUCUCCUUUCCCUUCGGAGAAAAGCGCUCAUUCAAGGUUGCAUAGGAAGGAAAGCCAGGUUGGGGACCAGCCCUGUGCAGCUUGGGGUCCCCGUGCCUUUUGGCUGAAGGAGGAGGUUAAAAGGGCCCAGACUGAACCCCGACCCCUCUGUCUUAGCCCCAGACUGUUUUCUGAUUUUAGCACUAGAUUUGGCUGCCCCUAAAGCCCUUAGCCCUAACUGACCUUCCUGCCCAGCCCAGCCCAGCCCAGCCCAGCCAGGCCCCAGACCCAGUGGCUUCUUGAAUGUUUUGGCUGUGCAGCUGGCUCCUUGUCACCUGCCCCCUUCCCAACCUUCCCCAGCUGGCAGCCUCUGACUCCUGGUCUAUGAGGGUGAGGCUGGGGGCUGGGGGACCCCUGGCAUAAGGGGUGUCCUCUGGCAGUCCUGCCCCAGCUGGAGGGCUGUACCCAACAGGUGCCCAGGCUUAGAGGCGAGGUGAUGUUGGACACACCCUGUCCGCUCGCCCACAUGCCCUGCCCGGGCCAGCCUGGGUACAUGUGUUCACAUGCCGAUGUCCUGGGAAGGCACAGGCCCUGGGGCUGGUGCUAGCUUUGUUCUCUGAUCCCGUGAGGCACCCAUGGCCCUCUGCCCUUGCAGCACGUCCUCUGGGAGCUCCUUCAAGACCCCAACAGGCAGGCCUUGCCUGUGGAUCUAGAGGGGGCCCUAAAAUAGGUGCCGGCCUGGCCUGGGGCUGGCACGCGGAGCACAUGCGUGACAGGGCGUGUCCAGAGGGUCGGGCCUGUCUGUGCUGGCCUGGCCACUGAGCCUCCGCCGACCCUUGCUCGCUGGAGAAAGACAGCAGAGGCGGAUGCUUUAGGAGGGACCCCCGUGUCGUGCCCACCCUCUAACAAUGCAAGUGGACGCCAGAUGUUCCAUGCAGACCGCAGCUGCGGGGCAGGCCCCCAUCUAUCUGCAAUCCCAGGGUAAUUAGCCCGGUGGGUACACUGGGGUGACCCGCUCGCCCGAUCUAGGUGGUGCUUUGAUACCUCUUAAAGCAUUUUUUGGAGUUUGCCCUUCACCUUGGAAAGCUGGGUGGGGGAUUCUGUCCUCCAUGAAUAACGGCGCCAGGAACCUUGGGCGAUCUUGAGAAAACUCCUUCCUGUAACCUCUGUUUUCCACGUUGGAUGUGUUUUAGGCCACAGUCAGGCCUGGCUUUUUUUUUUUUUUUUUUUUAAGACUUAUUCCAUGACCUUAAGCCCCAGUCUGAAUCUCUGAGCCUUAAUUAUUCUAUCUAUAAAUGGGAAGCAUUUGGAAAUGGGACGGAGAGAAGUGUACACUUUGCCCCUGGCCGCCUUCUUCCCUCCUGGUGUCCUGGGUGGACACGGAGGUGUGUCUGGGGAAGGUGUGUCCUUUAGGGCCGGUCGCCUGGGAAGGAUGUUGAGCGGAGGGCAGUGGGUGUGGGUGAGAAUCCCUGGGCAGAGAAGGGCGCCGCCAUGCUGGGCACGGCUGAGUCACGCUCCAGCGACGCCUUGCCCCAGGGUGCUGGAGCUGGCGCCACCCUGGGUGUGGUCACUGAGCUGUGGCCCUGGGCAGAGCAGGGCUGGGUGGUCUAGGAUGUGGGGCCUCGGUGCCUGGGGAACUGACUUCGAAGAUGCCAAGCCCCCUGGCCUCCCGCCUGGCCUAGGUUCUGGGGUCACCCUCCAGGACUGUGGUGGCCCACACCCUGAGAAUGCCUUGGAGAGCCUAGAGGCCCUGAGCCUUGGGCCUGGGAAUCGGUGCGUUGAGGGAGGUGGAUAGGGCGCAGACACCAGUGACUGCAUUCAAGGCCAGGGGACCCCCACAGCCAGGCCCUCACUGCAAAAUGUACCUAUGUGGGGAGAAGGCAGGGGUGGACCUGAUGACGGGGUGUACCACUCUACUAAGGGUUCCCAACAUGAAGGUGAGGGGGCCCCUGGGAAUUCUGUGAUUGGUCUGGGAAAGAUUAAAGUCUAAGUGGGGGUUAGAGUGUGGACUGGCGGGACGCAAUGGGGGCUGGGAUGUCACUUUCAUGGUUCCCCUAUUUAUAACAAGUGAUUCAGCCCUCACUUACUCACCCCUUCCUGAGCCUCCCCCCACCCCAGCCCUGGGUGGGCAGCGGGGCCCACCCACUUGUCAGUGCCCUGACUUUCCCUACCCAGUGCCACCCUCUGAGGGCUGCCCAUCGGGGCGGUUGUUAUUGUCGCUGCACUGGGAUUGGGGCAGAGGGGCGGGGGGCUCCUGGUCAGGCGGCGCUUGGCCGGGCAGCCCAGGUUGGCGGCUGGCUCGAGGCCCAGCCCACGGAGCUUCUGCUGAGAGUCUGGGCCCAUUAGGCAAAGCGUUAGUGACAGGCUGGGAGGGCGGGUGGCGCGGCGGGCAGGGCGGGGCCUGCAGCCCUUGGUAUUUUCCGAUCCCAGCUGCUCUGUGAGGGUGGAAAGUAUUUGGGGACCAGGCUUGGGGGCGGAGGUGGUGGUGGCGCCCCCGGCGGAAGCUGCCCCUGAUUCAUUCUUGGAGCAUGGGGUUGGGGGGGUAGCGGUACACAUACAUACCCUUGUGUGUCUGGUCCACGCACACGCUGUCUGGAGGGGGUAUUCAGGCAUACCCACAUGCAUUGGCUGGCCGGGGUGUCCUGAUGCAGCCUGGGGCCUGCUUUGCUCCCCAGCCCAGGGGCCCGCCCUCUCCCUCAUGCCUCCAGCUGCUAGGAGCUUGGUUUCCCCCUGGACACCAUCUCCCAAGAGCCUGAGAAGUGCACCAUGAUUGGUAAAGGGGACCCUGUCUCCUGGGCACCUGCAUGGCAGCACCCCUUCCACUCAAGACCCAGACCUUUUGUGCCUGCGGGGAUGGGGAGUGGCCUUGGCCCCGGCCCUGGGCUCUGUGCAGGGGAAACCCCACAGGAAACGAGCCUGGCCAAAUGGCCGCCCUUCCCGUUCUCGUCCCUGGGACACGAAUGUGCUGUCUCACUUCCGGAGGCGGCCCAGGGAGGCUGGCCGCCCUGCGGGGCCUCGCCUGCUCCCAGUUGGCGCCUCCAGACCCUAAGGGGACAGGGCUGGGCUGGGGCCUGAUGGGAAAGAGUGGCUGGUAUGUGUGUAUGUGUGUAUAGGGAGGGGACAAAACAGGACAUCACUCGCCGCCUGUCUCGAAGUGGUGAGCGCCACCACAUCGGGCGGACACUGGGGUCCUGGUGUGAGACACCCACGUUUCCGUUAUCCUUUGCCUUGGCAAAGACAGCAGCAGCUCUGUCGUGAUCAUGUUUAUCACUCAUGGGGUCCUCACCAUGACUUAUGAAGUCCAUACUUAUUAUCCCUGUUUUGCAGAUGGGGAAGCUGAGGCCCAGAGAGGUUGAGUGACUUGCCCAGAGUCACCCAGCUCAGAAGCUGCAGAGCUGGGGCUUUCAAAUCUGGGCAGACUUGGGCUCCAAAACUGGAGUCUGCUAGCCAGGUGUUGGGCUCUUAUCAAAAGAAGCUCCACUCACUAAAGACUUAGGGCUGGCUUCAUGCAUUUGUGAAACGGGCAGUCUCACGGCAGCCCUGCUUGGAGGGACCUGGAGGUUAGUUUAAUGUUGCACUGCUGGGGUCAUGAAUUUUUUUUUAUUAUUAUUAAUUUUUUUGUCUUGUAUUGCCCAGGCUGGUCUCGAACUCCUGGCCCCAAGCGAUCUUCCUGUCUUGGCCUCCCGAAGUGCCGGGAUUAUAGGGAUGAGCCACCGCGCUCAGCCUGAAAUUAUUUUCUUUUUUUAAACUUGUUUUUGUUUAUUUUAGAGAUAGGGUCUUGCUCUGUCACUUAGGCUGGAGUUCAGUGGCAUGGUCAUAGAUCACGGCAGCCUCAAACUCCUGGGCUCAAGCAGUCCUCCCACCUCAGCCGCCUGAGUAGCUGGGGCUACAGAUGUGUACCACCACUCCUGGCUGAUUUUUUAGUGAAUUUUUUGUGGGCCAGACACUGUGGCUCAGGCCUGUAAGCCCAGCACUUUGGGAGGCUGAGGCAGGCGGAUUGCUUGAGCCCAGGAGUUGGAGACCAGUCUGGGCAACAUGGCAAAACCCCAUCUCUACAAAAAUUAGGGCCAGGUGUGGUGGCUCACGCCUGUAAUCCCAGCACUUUGGAAAGCCGAGGUGGGCGGAUCACCUGAGGUCAGGAGGUCGAGACCAGCCUGGCCAACAUGGUGAAACCCCGUCUCUACUAAAAAUACAAAACUUAACUGGGCGUGGUGGCGGGCACCUGUAAUCCCAGCUACUCGGGAGGCUGAAGCAGGAGAAUUGCUUGAACUCUGGAGGUGGAGGUUGCAGUGAACCGAGAUCACGCCAUUGCACUCCAGCCUGGGCGACAGGGCGAGACUCUGUCUCAAAAAAAAAAAAAAAGAAAAGAAAAAGAAAAAAUUAGCCGGGCAUGGUGGUGCAUAGCUGUAGUCCCAGCUACCCCGGAGGCUAAGGUGGGAGGAUCACUUGAACCUGGGAGGCUGAGGCUGCAGUGAGCUGUGAUUGCACCCCUGCACUCUAGCCGUGGCGACAGAGUGAGACCCUGUCUCAAAAAAGAAAAAAUAUUUUUUUUUUUUGUAGAGAUGGGGUAUUGUCGUAUUGCGCAGGCUGGUCUUGAACUCCUGGCCUCAGGUGACUCUCCUGCCUCGGCCUCCCAAAGUGCUGGGAUUACAGGCGUGAGCCGCCAUGCUUGGCCUGAAAUUCUUAGUUUUCGAACUAGAGGACCACGUGUUCAUUUUGCACCGGGUCCUGAAAAUCCUGUAUCUUGCCCUGGUGCUGGGCACUUACUGAGUGACAUACAUACUCGGUGACAUCUCACUGGGCUAUGCAAAAGAGGCUCUUGGCUCCAUUUUACAGAUGGGGAAACUGAAGCUUUGGAGAGUCUUUGGGAAACUGUGGAGCAAGGAUUUGAACCUUGGGCUGUUUGGGUGGAGAGGCCUGUAUCUUGGAGCUUGGAUCCUGUGCUCUGGGGGGCGGGGGGUGCGUGUCUAGAAAGAGAGGGGGGUGCCUUGCUGCCGGCAUCCGCCCUGGUGGGUGUGGGCUAAGCCCUGGCCACUGAGGAGACCGGGCCACGGGGGGGGAGGCCCUGGUGGUUUCCUCCUGCCCUCCAGGCUUCUAGGAAGUGGCGCCAGCUGGGGUGAGAUCACUUCCUCACCCGCCUGCCUGGCCCCCCUUGGCUUCCUCUCCCCAUGGCCCCAUUUGGCCUGCCCAGGGCUCAAUGAGGGGGGAGCUUGGCCAUGCAAGUUGCUGUAGCCUCCUUGUCCCGCAUGGGCCCUCUAGGUAUCUCUGCCUCUCCAGUCCUGGGGCUGGAACGGAGGGCACAGCUAGGCUCCAGCUCCCCGUGUGGUGGCUCCUGCAUAUGAGAAAAGAGCUUCCCUGUGAUCAAAGGAAGCAUCUGGGGACCUGGAGGGGAGGUGUCCCCAAAUCUCAUUACCUCCUUUGCUCUCUCUCUCUUUCUCCCCUCCAGGUGCCAGCCUCUGGCCCCGCCCGGUGCCCCCCUCACCCCUGUGCCACGGCCGGCUGGGGUUCCUGGGGAUGGGAUUUGCUUCCUGUCACAAAUCACAUUGCCAGGGAUUUCCAACCGACCCUGAGCUCUGCCACCGAGGAUGCUGCCCGGGGACGGGGUGGCAGAGAGGCCCCGAAGCCUGUGCCUGGCCUGAGGAGCAGGGCUUAGCUGCUUGUGAGCAGGGUCCACACCAAGUCGUGUUCACAGUGGCUAAGUUCCGCCCCCCAGGCCCUCACCUCCUCUGGCCUUGCCGCCUGUCCCCUGCUGCCGCCUGUCUGCCUGCCAUCCUGCUGCCUGGCCUCCCUGGGCUCUGCCUCCCGUGCCUACUGAGCUGAAACACAGUUGGUUUGUGUACACUGGCUCAGUUCAGCAGGAACAGGGGUCAAGCCCCCUUGGAGCCUGCAGCCCCUGCCUUCCCUGGGUGGGCUGAUGCUUGGAGCAGAGAUGAGGACUCAGAAUCAGACCUGUGUCUGGAGGAGGGAUGUGGUGGGUGGGGUUGGCUGGGCCCAAAUGUGUGCUGCAGGCCCUGAUCCCCAACUCUGCAACUGGGGACCCCUGCAUGGCCACAGCUCAGGCUGGGCUGUGGUGCCAGCAUAGAUAGGUGGGUGAGUGGGUGGCCCUUCCAUUAAAAGGGAAGCCAGCUGUGUCCUUUCCGGGCCUGGAGGCUUGGCCCCUCCUCUCCCAAGCCUGGCAGGGGCACUGGCCCGGCCCGCACCUUCCUAGCAGCCAGUUACCCAAGAGGAAGCUGCCUUGGGCCUCCAGACCGUUAAAUGCCAACUCCUGGCUUCCGGUAUCAGGCUGGGUUGACCUGACCUGGCCCCUUCUUGCUGGGCCCUGCAGCUUUCUAACUUGCCGGGAGGAGCAGUGACACCCGCCCCACAUGUGGGGCAUGGAACAAGUUCCUUGUGGACCCAGAAGGGACACAAGCAGGUGUGCUUAGUCCUGAGGCGCUGGGAAUAGCUGAUCCUCCCUGCCUUGAGGGGGUUCUCAGGGCAGGGAAGAGUUAGGACUCUGUUUUUUUUUUUUUGUUUUUUUUUUUUUGAGAUGGAGUCUCGCACUGUCACCCGGGCUGGAGUGCAAUGGCUCGAUCUCGGCUCACUGCAACCUCCACCUCCCCAGUUCACACGAUUCUCCUGCCUCAGCCUCCCAAGUAGCUGGGAUUACAGGUGCACACCACCGCACCUGGCUAAUUUUUGUAUUUUUAGUAGAGACCGAGUUUCGCCAUGUUGGCCAGGCUGGUCUCGAACUCUUGACCUCAGGUGAUCUGCCCGCCUCAGCCACCCAAAGUGUUGGGAUUACAGGCAUGAGCCACUGCGCCCGGCCAAUUUUUUUUUAUGUUUUGUAGAGACGGGGUUUCGCCAUGUUACCCAGACUGGUCUUGAACUCCUGACCUCAAGCAAUCUGCUCGUCUUAGCCUCCCAAAGUGCUGGGAUUACAGCUGUGAGCCACCGUGCCUGGCCUUUUAUUGUUUGUUUUUGAGACGGAGUCUCACUCUGUUGCCCAGGCUGAAGUGCAGUGGUGUGAUCUUGGCUCACUGCAACCUCUGCCUCCUGGGUUCAAGCGAUUCUCCUGCCUCAGCCUCCUGAGUAGCUGGGCUUACAGGCACCCACCACCAUGCCCGGCUAAUCUUUGUAUUUUUAGUAGAGACGGGGUUUCACCAUCUUGGCCAGGCUGGUGUGAUCAUGGCUCAUUGCAACCUUGAAUUCCUGGGCACAAGUGAUCCUCCUGCCUUAGCCUCCCCAGUAGAGCUGGGACUACAGGUAUGCGCCACCACACCUGGCUAAUUUUUUUAAUUUUAAUUUUUGUAGAGAUGGGGGGGCAGGUCUCACUAUGUUGCCCAGGCUGUUCUCGAACUCCUGGCCACAAGCCAUCCUCCCACCUUAGUCUCCCAAUGCGCCGGAAUUACAGGUGGCUCAGGUGUGAGCCACCGUGCCUGGCUUUUCUCCACUAUCUUGAAAUCAGAUGGGAGGAGGCUUUUUUCUGGGUGGGACUGAGGAGGCACACUGAAGUCCCCCAGGUCAUCGGGGCUGGGCCAUUGCCUUUUUCCCCACCCUGGGUAGUCGUGGACAGAAGCUUGGGAUGGGAUGGAGAGGAGAGAUCGUGCUGUGUGUCAUGUCUGUUGUUCAAGUAAAUAAAAGUUGCCCUGACUUCA
Molecule: long non-coding RNA, 8403 nt
Organism: Homo sapiens (human)
Lineage: Eukaryota; Metazoa; Chordata; Mammalia; Primates; Hominidae
Gene: MIR23AHG
Product: miR-23a/27a/24-2 cluster host gene
Exons: 1
Source: RefSeq, marked validated